AUUGAACGCUGGCGGCAGGCCUAACACAUGCAAGUCGAGCGGAUGAAGGGAGCUUGCUCCUGGAUUCAGCGGCGGACGGGUGAGUAAUGCCUAGGAAUCUGCCUGGUAGUGGGGGAUAACGUCCGGAAACGGGCGCUAAUACCGCAUACGUCCUGAGGGAGAAAGUGGGGGAUCUUCGGACCUCACGCUAUCAGAUGAGCCUAGGCCGGAUUAGCUAGUUGGUGGGGUAAAGGCCUACCAAGGCGACGAUCCGUACUGGUCUGAGAGGAUGAUCAGUCACACUGGAACUGAGACACGGUCCAGACUCCUACGGGAGGCAGCAGUGGGGAAUAUUGGACAAUGGGCGAAAGCCUGAUCCAGCCAUGCCGCGUGUGUGAAGAAGGUCUUCGGAUUGUAAAGCACUUUAAGUUGGGAGGAAGGGCAGUAAGUUAAUACCUUGCUGUUUUGACGUUACCAACAGAAUAAGCACCGGCUAACUUCGUG
RNAcentral lists this ribosomal RNA (483 nucleotides) under uncultured bacterium. RNAcentral's name for it is "partial 16S ribosomal RNA". It matches the Rfam family "Bacterial small subunit ribosomal RNA", at positions 30 to 507 of the family's 1533-position model. The record is from RNAcentral.